This 253-nucleotide ribosomal RNA is filed under the name uncultured bacterium. RNAcentral's name for it is "partial 16S ribosomal RNA". It matches the Rfam family "Bacterial small subunit ribosomal RNA", at positions 524 to 776 of the family's 1533-position model. The record is from RNAcentral.
UACAGAGGUCCCAAGCGUUGUUCGGAUUCACUGGGCGUAAAGGGUGCGUAGGUGGUGAGGUAAGUCGGAUGUGAAAGCUCCGAGCUCAACUCGGAAAUGGCAUUGGAAACUACCUUGCUCGAGGGUUUGAGGGGGGACUGGAAUACUUGGUGUAGCAGUGAAAUGCGUAGAUAUCAAGAGGAACACCUGAGGUGAAGACGGGUUGCUGGGCUGAUACUGACGCUGAAGCGCGAAAGCUAGGGUAGCAAACGGG